GUAACUUAAAGUAACUAACAUAUCUGUACUGUUCAGCAAAUCUUGCAUUUAUGUGCCUGCGACCACGAAAAUGAGCCCACAGCAAGCCUCAUGGUAACUUCCGUAGUGGUCCCACUGCAAAUUCUUGAUUUUCUUGCUACGCAAAGAGCAAUUUUAAACAGUAUAAUUCAUGCACACUUUUGCUAAGCAUGGUGUGUCAUAACUCCUAAUAUGACUGAGCUUCUAUGACGACAUUAUUGAAUUUUAUGUGUUUGUAUUGAUGCGCAUUACUGAAAACUGGGGCGCGAUAACGUAACUCUAUUCCAAACAAAAACUGUUCCAAACUCCGGACGUCAAAAUGACGCGACAGUUUCUGCGUAUGGGGGCGGGAACCAGCGGCGUUUUUCAAUCUGUCCAAUCAGCAGCCUCCAUCGUUGCCGGAAGUAUGUAUUGCUUGUUUUUUAUUUGCAAAGGGACCGUAUAGCAAGUGACAUAAAGAUAUAAACGUCUGAUAAAAGAACAAUUGUGUGUCGCUGAUAGUAAAAGUGUUUUGUAAUCUUUUAACGCAAGAGAAGUUGAAGCGCGCUUGAAAGUAAACAUAAAUAUUUUAAUUUUUCGAGUCAUAGCCACACACGUGCCAAUUCCGCAUCCAAUCCAUUUUGCUACGCACACUUAAGAUGGCGGCUACGCGAAAACAGCUGAUCGGUUCUGUGGGCCGCUCUUGGUGUAUUUUUGUCCGUAACGCGAUUAGAUGAAAUCUCGCCGUACGAGGUACUUUCGCCCGAGAAGAAUUCUGGAAGCUGUGAACAUCAUGAAGACUGUGAAAGCGUAGUGCUCGGAUACGGAAGAAUCGAUGAAGGUUGGAAGGCAUCUCAACAGAUAGCUGCUCGCGGCGCAGGUUGGCGCCGAGAAGAGGUCAGCCCUCGACUAGCAGCGUGUUCGGAACGUAUAAGCUGACGGUUUUCAUGCAUUUGCAGGAAGACGGGAGGCGGAAAGUUGGGCGGCCUGGAGGGUCGAGUGCUCGCCGUGCUCGCCCAUACCGGCCCAGCUUCCGCCCCUGCGGAUUUUUUUGCUGGCGAUGCUGAGGAGGACACCUCCAGUGAGGAGUCCAGUGAUGGAGUGCCCCCUGCCCCACCAGCAGCUGCGCGCGUCUCAGUGGGCACGGAGCCGGGGACCAGUGGCACUGCACCUCGGCAGCAGCCCCGCAGGCCGCCACCCCGCCAACAGGUCCUUGAGGACGCAGCAUCUCGGGCGGCCGCAGACUAUGCCCGACAGAGCCGGCUAGCUGAGGCGGCAAACGCGGAGGCCGCAAGCUUCCACCAGUUGUUGCUGCAGCAACAUAGGCAGCUGGUGGAAGAACAGAGAGCGACGCGGCAAGUCCUGGAGCAGCUGGUGGCCGAGAUGCGUGGUUCGCGAGAGGCGACCACUCUCAUUGCGACCACGCUGCGCCAGCUGCUGGCUGCCCUCGCCCACCUGCGCGAGCCGCCUCAGCAAUAAGGGGCAGCUUUUUUUUUUUUUUUGCCAUAUCAUUCUUUAGUGCUUUGUAGGUACAAGUGUUGCCUAUCUAUGCUUGUUUUUUUUUUAUGCAGCACUAAAGGAUGAUAUGGCUGUUUUCCGUAAUUUCUGUCCCUAAUCAUAUUUUUUUUUGCAAGGUAAUUUCUGUUAUGUUUAUUUUCAUAUGUAGUGCAAGUUUGCCCAAGUGAGGCAUUAUAUAACUUAUAUGUAGAACUUUCGGGUUUCUGUUCGUUACCGUAUUUUUUUCCCCAAGUUCAUUUCAUGUGUAUUAUUCUUUGACCAAGUGAGACGGUAUAACUUAUAUGUACAUUCUUUGCCAUAUUUUUGCGUUUCUGUUCGUUACCGUAUUUUUUUCCCCAAGUUCAUUUAGUGUGUAUUAUUCUUUGUCCAAGUGAGACGGUAUAAGUUAUAUUUACAAUUUUUGUCAUAUUUUUGCGUUUCUGUUUUUUACCGUAUUUUUUUCCCCAAGUUCAUUUCAUGUGUAUUAUUCUUUGUCCAAGUGAGACGGUACAACUUAUAUGUACAUUUUUUGCCAUAAUUUCGUUAGGUGUUGUUCACUUUUGUUUUGCUGUUACUGAUAUGUUUCAAUGUGCGCCGUUCUUCCACGGAAGAUACACUGUGCAAUCACUUUUACGCCAACUACGACAUUGUCUCGCACACAUACAGGUGCGCUUAAUAACUACAAUACUGUGAUAACUGGAAAUCAAUUUUCAUGCCAUAUGUAUGUCAUGUUUGCAAUGUAUAACCAUUCGUGCCUACGCAAAGUAGCCGAAUUGGUAUUUUUAUCACCAAGUGUACACACCCGAGCAGCAGGAAACGAAAGAGCGCUUUAUUGCGAGGAGCAUGUGCGUUUAUACACAUGCAGGCCAGGCUUGCACAUGCGUAUCACAAUAUUCUUGAUGACGUAGCCACUGGUCACACCAAGCACCUGUUACCUGUGGUAGUCGCUGUGAUAUUUCAGGUGUCCUUACCUAUGAUAGCAAUACAAUCUAGUCCCCAUUGUAGUUGAGCACAGUUUGCGACAUACGUAACAGAGCCAUCGAUGUGGCCGCUAUUUUGACAUUCGCUGCCAGGCUGGUCUUGCAGCCGUUAUAUGAAAUACCGUUUUAGUGCCAAGCAUUUUCUCACUUGUCGUUCCUUAGAAGCAUGUCAUGGCUGCUUUAUAUUGUGAUCUUAUUACGGCACUAGUCAUUGAAAAGAAACUGUAUUGUGCUACAAACAUGCCAACUACAUAAUAGAGAAGAGAUCUUUCUUGCUGUUAAGUUGCUGGAUGAAGAAAAAUGGUUGUCUGCGAGUUCAAAAAAAUAUCGUUAUGCUCGUGUCAUAUUUAUGCAAUUUAACAUCUGCCAACGGCCCAGUGGUAGUGUACUGGGUCCCAUGUAGUGAACAUCACACGGCUAUUUUGACGCCAUGAAGCCAUGCUCUGUGUACUUGUCUGUCAUUUUCUUUGAUGAAAGACGGCAUUGAAGAUCGAUCACAUGGUUUUAUUUACAAUGCAGAUUUAAAUAAACGAUUUUACACAAUGCAA
Dermacentor andersoni is the source of this 3022-nucleotide long non-coding RNA. RefSeq lists it as uncharacterized. The record is from RefSeq and is a predicted model, not a curated record. Lineage: Eukaryota; Metazoa; Arthropoda; Arachnida; Ixodida; Ixodidae.